Molecule: RNA transcript, 2306 nt
Organism: Stomoxys calcitrans (stable fly)
Lineage: Eukaryota; Metazoa; Arthropoda; Insecta; Diptera; Muscidae
Exons: 3
Source: RefSeq, a predicted model, not a curated record
CUUAUUUUGAUAAAGCCGGGUGUUUUUAUUUAGAAAUGCGUAUGAUUUAAGUCUAUUAUCCAAGCAGAAGCUUUGUUUGAAAGAGAGUUUUGGACAUGGAUGCUUCAGCCUUAAAUUUAAAUGAACUUUUCAACAAUCUGGAUGUGGUGGAGCAUAUCACCGGUUUUUUGGACUGCAAGGACCAAUUGACAUUGGCCAGAGUGUGCUCUCAAUUCCAUGUAAUCAUAGUCGAUUAUGUUUGGAAAUGUAAAUACCGUCAGUUGGAAAUAUGCUUUGACACCGACGACACUUAUGCCAUUAAUAACUCUCCUCGUAGUUGGGAGGAAAUUUGCGUGGACCAGAAUUGCAUAGACUAUGAACAUAAAGAAAAUCGCUUCUUUUUGGAUCAAUCAGAUGUAAAGGAGUUCCUUCAGUUGAAUAGAAAUACUAUUGAAAAUUUCUCACUUAUUUGCUUCAACCUCAAAUAUGCUGAAUUGGAUUUGGACAUAGCAUUGCCAAAUAUGACAACAUUGCUAUUGCAUGGCAUUCCUUUGAGUGAUAACAAUUUAAAAUAUAUUGCCAGAAACUGUCCCCAUUUGGAAGUCUUGAUUUUAUGGUCAUGUUCCAAUUCUGAAAAGCAAAAGAUGAUCAUAGGGCAGGACAUCGAAACAAGAACUCUGACCCAAUUAACCAAACUAAAGUCGUUUGUUUUAAAACAGCCUGGUUCAAGCAGACCAAGUGAUGAACAUGUCUACAAAUACGAACAUCUACAGGAUAUAUUGGAAACUUUGAAAAUUAAACACAUCCAUCUGGAGGAAAAGAUUGUCUAUCCAUUAAUACUUACCUUGUAUCGUAACGAAAUCAGACGAAGUGGUGGUAUAAUACGGCAUGAGCGUCAGAAAGCUACCGCCGUUGCACCAGAUACUAGAACAAAUCCCUGCGAAGAGUUGGUCAUUGGUUCAUUCCAGGACACCGUUAACUUUGUACAAUUUAGUGACGAUUUCCUGCAGAGCUAUGCUAAUCUUACCAAUCUGACCAUUGAAGGAGAUAUUGGUGCAAUGCACGAUGCCUUUUGCAUACACAGACAAUUUUUCAAAACUGCUAUGGCACGCUGCAAGGGACUAACGAAGCUUAAGAUUACCUAUGCCAAGAUAAGCAACUUUAUUCCCAUAGAUACGCUAACACAACUCAACCUUUACGAAUGCAAAGCAUUGUCAUGGACGAAUUUAACACAAAUUCUAAGUGAAAUGAAUUUAAUUUCAUUUGCCACCUACAGGACCUACUAUCGUGGCAAGAUAGAACCAAUAAGAGUCUCGAAAUCUUUGCGACACUUUGAAUUUGAUUUUCCCAAAAGAUUUCUUACGGGUGUUUUUGAACAACAAUUUGAACACUUGACUUCUUUUACUUGGAAGAAUUACCACGAUGACAGCACACAUGAUAUUGCCUCGUUUUUCUCGGAGUUAAAGGACCUGGAAUUACUGGUACUAGAGACAAUUGAUGAUGGCGUAUUCGCAUUGAAUGCUCUUCGCAAGAUAAAAAUAAUUUUUAACAUAAAUAUGUCUACCAUACUGAAACUCUUGAGGCAUAAUACCCUGGAAAUGUUAAUCUUUAGUGUUAUACAAGAUGAUAUAGAGGAUGUGGAACAAUUUAAGGCCACUAAGACCAAUUUACUUCACCUCAAUAUUUAUACCACAGCAUUUACAGCGAAAAUUGAUUUUUGGCUUGAAUUACUGGCAUUAAAUCCCAAAUUGACCAUAGUGAGUAGAGGAUUGAGAUUGGACUCUGAGGAAAAUAUUUUUGUAAAAUUAGUACAAAGUUCCAAAUUUCCAAGGAAAUCCUUCAAUGUUGGCGGUUUCACAAUUGUGUACCAUAUAUUCCCAAAUUAACAGAGAACAAUGCUUGGGCACCAAACAGAGAAAUCGAAAAAAAAACAACAAUCGCAUACAAAUCAAACCACACUACAAAAGCUGUUCACAACAACAACUACCAAAGCAGACCAACUCCAACUAGACAAUGUAGUUUACGAAUUGACGUGCAAUGGCAAAGAAGGGGAACAAUGCAAUAUGUGUUGUGUGGGCACAACUCGGCGAAAACUGAAAAUACGAAUGGCAGAACACGAAGCAGACAUCAAGAAAGGCAGAGAAAGCACAGCUUUAUCACAACAUAUUAAAGAGACGGGACACAACAUUGACUUCAAAGCUGUCAGAAUUCUUGACAGAGAGAGAAAUGAAAAUAAGAGGUUACGCCGAUUUGAAAAACAACUUUGAAGCAACCAUGGAGAAAAUUAAGAAAAUCGAGAAAGUUGUUUCGACUUGGUCCUUCGGCAA